GAUUUAAAACCACCUGGAUCCUGCGGUCGUCAGAGCAUCUCUCGGUCAAGACUGGGAGGGGCACAAGAGUUGGAACUGAUAUAUUCCUUAGGGUUGCUAAAUAAGGAACAAAAGAAGAGGGACAAAAGAAGAAAUUCAUGAAAUGUGACAGCACUGAAUUAAAUCAUUAAGGAAAUAAACAUAUUUUAACUGAA
This is a long non-coding RNA of Oncorhynchus kisutch (coho salmon), 194 nucleotides long. RefSeq lists it as uncharacterized. The record is from RefSeq and is a predicted model, not a curated record. Lineage: Eukaryota; Metazoa; Chordata; Actinopteri; Salmoniformes; Salmonidae. The transcript is spliced from 2 exons.